CCUACGGGUGGCAGCAGUGGGGAAUAUUGCACAAUGGAGGAAACCCUGAUCCAGCGACGCCGCGUGAGUGAAGAAGUCAUUCUUUAUGUAAAGCUCUAUCUGCAGGGGAGAAAAUGACGGUACCUGAGUAAGACUCCCCGGCUAACUCCGUUCCAGCAGCCGCGGUACUACGUAGGGGGCAAGCGUUAUCCGGAUUUACUGGGUGUAAAGGGGGCGUAGACGGCAGGGCAAGUCUGGAGUGAAAGGCGGGGGCUCAACUCCCGGAUUGCUUUGGAAACUGUACGGCUGGAGUGCAGUUGCGGUAAGUGGAAUUUCUGGUGUAGCGGUGAAAUGCGUAGAUAUCAGGAGGAACACCAGUGGCGAAGGCGGCUUACUGGACUGCAACUGACGUUGAGGCUCGAAAGCGUGGGGAGCAAACAGGAUUAGAUACCCGGGUAGUC
Molecule: ribosomal RNA, 440 nt
Filed under: uncultured bacterium
Lineage: Bacteria
Description: partial 16S ribosomal RNA
Rfam family: Bacterial small subunit ribosomal RNA
Source: RNAcentral